GUCGAGCGGACAGAUGGGAGCUUGCUCCCUGAUGUUAGCGGCGGACGGGUGAGUAACACGUGGGUAACCUGCCUGUAAGACUGGGAUAACUCCGGGAAACCGGGGCUAAUACCGGAUGGUUGUUUGAACCGCAUGGUUCAAACAUAAAAGGUGGCUUCGGCUACCACUUACAGAUGGACCCGCGGCGCAUUAGCUAGUUGGUGAGGUAACGGCUCACCAAGGCAACGAUGCGUAGCCGACCUGAGAGGGUGAUCGGCCACACUGGGACUGAGACACGGCCCAGACUCCUACGGGAGGCAGCAGUAGGGAAUCUUCCGCAAUGGACGAAAGUCUGACGGAGCAACGCCGCGUGAGUGAUGAAGGUUUUCGGAUCGUAAAGCUCUGUUGUUAGGGAAGAACAAGUACCGUUCGAAUAGGGCGGUACCUUGACGGUACCUAACCAGAAAGCCACGGCUAACUACGUGCCAGCAGCCGCGGUAAUACGUAGGUGGCAAGCGUUGUCCGGAAUUAUUGGGCGUAAAGGGCUCGCAGGCGGUUUCUUAAGUCUGAUGUGAAAGCCCCCGGCUCAACCGGGGAGGGUCAUUGGAAACUGGGGAACUUGAGUGCAGAAGAGGAGAGUGGAAUUCCACGUGUAGCGGUGAAAUGCGUAGAGAUGUGGAGGAACACCAGUGGCGAAGGCGACUCUCUGGUCUGUAACUGACGCUGAGGAGCGAAAGCGUGGGGAGCUGAGACAGGAUUAGAUACUCU
RNAcentral lists this ribosomal RNA (747 nucleotides) under Paenibacillus polymyxa. RNAcentral describes it as "bacterial SSU rRNA". It matches the Rfam family "Bacterial small subunit ribosomal RNA", at positions 61 to 788 of the family's 1533-position model. Lineage: Bacteria; Bacillati; Bacillota; Bacilli; Caryophanales; Paenibacillaceae. The record is from RNAcentral.